UCCUGGCUGUAAACGAUGUGGACUAAGCGUUGGUGGGGUCAAACCCAUCAGUGCUGGAGCUAACGCGUUAAGUCCACCGCCUGGGGACUACGGCCGCAAGGCUAAAACUCAAAGGAAUUGGCGGGGGCCCGCACAAGCAGCGGAGCGUGUGGUUUAAUUCGAUGCUACACGAAGAACCUUACCCGGGCUUGACAUGCUGGUGGUACCGAACCGAAAGGGGAGGGACCCCGGGG
This 233-nucleotide ribosomal RNA is filed under the name uncultured bacterium. RNAcentral describes it as "partial 16S ribosomal RNA". It matches the Rfam family "Bacterial small subunit ribosomal RNA", at positions 794 to 1024 of the family's 1533-position model. The record is from RNAcentral.